Mandrillus leucophaeus (drill) is the source of this 1452-nucleotide RNA transcript. RefSeq lists it as uncharacterized. The transcript has 5 exons. The record is from RefSeq and is a predicted model, not a curated record. NCBI's taxonomy places the organism in Eukaryota, Metazoa, Chordata, Mammalia, Primates, Cercopithecidae.
AUGGCCGUCUUCCAGGAAUCUGCUGCACGACACGAGGAAGAUGCUAAUGCAGGGAGAGCUGCGUGGCCCCCGACACCACUCUGCCGCCAGAGGGAUGUGCCUGCUGAGCCUUUUCCUUCCACACCGCCUCUGGCUGCCGGGCCAGCGGCUUCCACUGAGACUCCCUGGAGAGCCGGCUCCCGUGUCCAUCCACCGAGCACUCAGACGGAUGCUGAUGACCAGGCCGAGGGGGAGCCCAGAAGGACCCCAGGCCCUGGGUGGGAGGAGCCAGUGUGUGUGGCCUGUGCCGUGCUCAGCAUUUUCCCACUGUCUGAGCCAAGCAGGACCCUGUCCCCGAGCAAGAGAUGUCCCCUUCCAUCCCUGACCCCCUGCCUGGGACAAGCCUUGUUGGGGGGCCCCAGCUUCAGGGCUGUGGUGGGAAUAACACCCGCAAAUGCCAGCCUCUCCUUUCUUCCCAUCCACCAGUUCACUACAAGGCCAUAUCUGGUCUUUAUGCAACAGGAAGCCCAUUUCUGGUGGGAUGUGCCUUCCAGUGCCACAGGGCCACUGACCCCACGCAUCUCUGUUCUGUCCAUCAGUGCUGGGAUGGACAGCAAGGGCGAGCCCAGUGUCUGGCAGAUAGGUGGGUGGGAACGGGGAGGGGAGAAUGCCAUCCUAAGCCUGUGUUUGGGGAGCCCCCACACAGCCUGGGUACUGCCUGGGAAACCUGUCCUAAGUAAAACAUGGGCCUCGCCUCGCCCACCGGCCUGCGAAGCCAGCGUCUCCGUGAAGGUGGAUGGAAACACCUUUGUCCUCAUUUUGAGCUGCAGGCUGGCCACCGUGCCCGGCUGCCCUCAAGUGACUCUCUAACCCAAGACCCAGGCCCUAGCAGGAGGAGGGUGGGUGCAGGGCUGGUGGGACAAAAAGAGGCCUCAGCAGGCCUGGCAGACCCUUCCAGUGCGUCCCAAAGCGUGUCAAGCAGCUAGGAGGACCUGUGUCAAGCUCAAGCCAUCGUAGGUCCCCAUGAGGUAUCUGAAGCCCCUUCUUGGUGACGGGAGGCGGAGGUGCUGACAUUCUGGGGAAUGGACCGGAGUCCUCGACUGGCUUCGCGCAGGCCCCUGAAGGCGGUGAGGUGUGUGGUGACCUGGAUGCCUGUAACUUCAUGGCUGCAUCAUUCCUGAUUCAGAACUUUAGCUGGAGCUUCAUCUGGUGAUUGCAGAAUUGGACCAACAGGAGGACUGCGGCGUGGCCCGGCCCCUCCCUGGAAUGGAGCUCAGCUCUUCGGAGGUGUCAGCACCUGUCGCCUCCGUGGUCCCCCUGCCGAGGGAGUGCGGCCCCCACGAGGUUCGGGGUGACUUUGUUUGCCGGAGUGGCCGGCCCUGCGUGUGUCUUGCGGAUGUUUGUGAGCCUUAGUUCCCACAGCACCGUGUAGGCUGCGUCUGUUUCGUGCUGGUCCUGUUGAGGCGUGAUGGU